UACGUAGGCAGCAAGCGUUGUUCGGAAUUACUGGGCGUAAAGAGUGUGUAGGUGGUGUCGUAAGUUUGGUGUGAAAUCUCCCGGCUUAACUGGGAGGGUGCGCCGAAGACUGCGAUGCUGGAGUAUGGGAGAGGAAAGCGGAAUUCCUGGUGUAGCGGUGAAAUGCGCAGAUAUCAGGAAGAACACCCGUGGCGAAGGCGGCUCUCUGGGACGGUACUGACGCUGAGACGCGAAAGCGUGGGGAGCGAACAGG
Molecule: ribosomal RNA, 253 nt
Filed under: uncultured bacterium
Lineage: Bacteria
Description: partial 16S ribosomal RNA
Rfam family: Bacterial small subunit ribosomal RNA
Source: RNAcentral